UACGAAGGGGGCUAGCGUUGUUCGGAAUCACUGGGCGUAAAGCGCACGUAGGCGGAUGUGUCAGUCAGGGGUGAAAUCCCGGGGCUCAACCUCGGAACUGCCCCUGAUACAGCACAUCUUGAGUCCGGAAGAGGUGGGUGGAAUUCCUAGUGUAGAGGUGAAAUUCGUAGAUAUUAGGAAGAACACCGGUGGCGAAGGCGGCCCACUGGUCCGGUACUGACGCUGAGGUGCGAAAGCGUGGGGAGCAAACAGG
Molecule: ribosomal RNA, 253 nt
Filed under: uncultured bacterium
Lineage: Bacteria
Description: partial 16S ribosomal RNA
Rfam family: Bacterial small subunit ribosomal RNA
Source: RNAcentral